Molecule: long non-coding RNA, 2202 nt
Filed under: Equus caballus (horse)
Lineage: Eukaryota; Metazoa; Chordata; Mammalia; Perissodactyla; Equidae
Description: lncRNA (ENSECAG00000051908.1)
Source: RNAcentral
AAGUUGGUCAUGGUGAUUCCAUUCCCCUUGCCGACCAUUGGCUUACAAAAGAGCCCGGUAACAAUUACAGCCAAUGAGAUAUGAAGGAAAGGUUUUUGAGAAGUGUGGAGAGGCUUGGGAAAGCGUUCUUGUUUUACAAAGAAAUGUCACUCUCACUACGAUCUUCACAUUUUGUUGUGUGAAGAUGUUAUGCUUACAGCUGUUGCCGCCGUCUUUUAUCCACAAGCCAAUUUGGGUGAAGUCCUUUGCUACUUACGGCCAAAAAAACUAAACGUGAGAAUCCAGCUCUGGUCAGAAGAUUGCCCAGUGUGCAAGGACUCCAAGUGAGGUGAGUUGAUCGAGUUCUUCAAAUGGUGAAUAGUCCCGUGUCUCAUCAUCCACUUUCCCAUAAGGACCGGACAAUCGAAUCCUCCAGUGAGCCUUUCCCCAGACUCUGUGAGGUGAACAUUGCCACAUUUAACCUCCAUUUUGGGGAACUUUGGAAUGUUUUAGGUGGAUUUAAGCCCUGAGAACUGAAGAAUUUCUCCCAGUCUUCUAAAGUCACAGUCUGUUGGGGACUACUUGUGCGGUGGUUGCCAGGGUCUGGGCUCCGACCUACCGGUCCUCUCAGCUCUCCACACUGUGGCCUCAGGAGAGAGGGGAAGGACAGCGAGGUGGGGAGACACGCACAGGGCUGAGGGAGAAGCCCCACUCCCGCCCUGAGUCCACCGUGGUGCUGUCUGUCCUGUACUGUCAGCCAGUGACUGCUGGCAUGAGGAAGCUUCUUUGGGGAGAAAUAUUUUUUCUCUCUUGCUCUCUGACAAAUUUCCUUUAAAUUGAUCUCACUGUGUUUAAAAUUUUUAUCGCUACCAUAAUGCAAUCUGGUGGUUUCAGAUUCUAUUUGCAGCUCUAACUAACUUUAUGAGCCUUCCUCCAUAUAAACUCUUUUCAGGGUCAUUCGUUGGUUGAAAAUGGGAUAAGAGUAAACUGUCGUUCCCAGGCAAACUUUUGUUGAUGAAUAUCACCUAAGAUAAGACCUGGUAGGAGACGGGCUUUAGAUAGCAGGAUCUGAACACAAGGCAGCAGUUCCCGUGAUGGGGGACGUUGAUGAGUCUCCGGUUAGACAGGGCCCUUCUAGACCUGGAGGAUGAAAUCAGCAUGUUGUCCAUCAAGCAAAGACAUUUAAAAGCAUCUAAAGAGGCAAAAAGCAUCCCCAGAUCAGUAUUCACAUGUAGGCGUUACAAGGCAAAAUACAGAAGCAUCACUCAGAAGGCCUGCUGGUCGUUUACGGAAAUGAACACAGCAGGGAGCUGUGCCGAGACACUGAGAAGUCACUGUUUCCUGGGCAGUGUUGAUAGCUUUUUAUCUGUCCCCUUAAGGGGGAAGGCAGAGAUGGACCAAGACAAAGAAGUCAUUGCUCAGUUCUAAGUUUCGAAAUACAGUUCUUAAGUCUACAGAAGAGAGAGCCAUCUAAAAGCCAAAGUGCUUUUGAUUUUUAUUUUCAAGAGGCAGGCUUUGUUGGGAGAGAAUUGUAUGAACAUGGAGACACAUAUGUGUAAUAAGCCUUGAACAUAAUGAGAAUCCCCCAUGAAAAUACUUAAAGAUGGGAAACAGGCCCCAGGGGAGGCCCCAACUCAGCAGUGCAUUCUGGAGCCUUAAAUUUCCUCUAUGUACUAAACUCUGCUUUUGGAAAAGAAAAAGACACCCACAAAUUAAAUCCAAACCUCUGACAAAAUGGGCCGAAGGAUGAGCAAUGGCACGCAUCUGAUUUACACCCAUGUUGGCUCCCCAGGGGGCCGAGCCUCAGCUAGACCAGAGCUCCACUCGGCAGGGCGGAGUCGUCUGCAAAUGCAGACCCACCCUGGCGUCUCCCCAUCAGUCGCUGCCCCGCACUACAGGGGCAUUCGUUUGUGUUCUCUUGUUCUUUUUUCUAAACUCACAACCGAGAAAAUGUUCAAUAAGUAAAAUUACCCAUGAAUGACAUAUAAUUUUAUCCAUAUUUCUUACAGAGGUUGUCUCCAUCAGACUUCAACAACUAGUUGAAGCCAUCAGGAAGGGAUUACUGUUGUUCUGAGAUGUGUAAACAAUUGAUUAUAUGAGAUUCUCAUUAGCCUUGGCAUCUGGCAGGCUCCCCAUGUGUCCAAGAGUUCAUGUGUGCGUGCACACAGACACACACACACACACACACUGAAUGGGGAAAGAGGGAUCGGUAGAUAUAUAGAC